This 217-nucleotide ribosomal RNA is filed under the name uncultured bacterium. RNAcentral's name for it is "partial 16S ribosomal RNA". It matches the Rfam family "Bacterial small subunit ribosomal RNA", at positions 976 to 1196 of the family's 1533-position model. The record is from RNAcentral.
UGGGCUCGAAAUGCAGCUGACAUCCGGUGAAAGCCGGCUCCCGCAAGGGCAGCUGUAUAGGUGCUGCAUGGCUGUCGUCAGCUCGUGUCGUGAGAUGUUGGGUUAAGUCCCGCAACGAGCGCAACCCUCGUCCUCUGUUGCCAUCAGGUCAAGCUGGGCACUCUGAGGAGACUGCCGGUGAUAACCGGNGGAAGGUGGGAUGACGUCAAGUCAGCAU